Molecule: transfer RNA, 75 nt
Filed under: Candidatus Azambacteria bacterium RIFCSPHIGHO2_01_FULL_44_55
Lineage: Bacteria; Candidatus Azamiibacteriota
Description: tRNA-Glu
Rfam family: tRNA
About the family: Transfer RNA (tRNA) molecules are approximately 80 nucleotides in length. Their secondary structure includes four short double-helical elements and three loops (D, anti-codon, and T loops). Further hydrogen bonds mediate the characteristic L-shaped molecular structure. tRNAs have two regions of fundamental functional importance: the anti-codon, which is responsible for specific mRNA codon recognition, and the 3' end, to which the tRNAs corresponding amino acid is attached (by aminoacyl-tRNA synthetases). tRNAs cope with the degeneracy of the genetic code in two manners: having more than one tRNA (with a specific anti-codon) for a particular amino acid; and 'wobble' base-pairing, i.e. permitting non-standard base-pairing at the 3rd anti-codon position.
Source: RNAcentral
GGCCCCAUCGUCUAGUGGUUAGGACAACACGCUUUCAAUGUGUAAACAGGGGUCCGAUUCCCCUUGGGGCUACAA